Molecule: ribosomal RNA, 561 nt
Filed under: uncultured bacterium
Lineage: Bacteria
Description: bacterial SSU rRNA
Rfam family: Bacterial small subunit ribosomal RNA
Source: RNAcentral
CCUACGGGAGGCAGCAGUGGGGAAUCUUGCGCAAUGGGCGAAAGCCUGACGCAGCAACGCCGCGUGCGGGAAGAAGGCUUUCGGGCUGUAAACCGCUUUCAGCAGGAACGAAAAUGACGGUACCUGCAGAAGAAGGAGCGGCCAACUAUGUGCCAGCAGCCGCGGUGAUACAUAGGCUUCAAGCGUUGUCCGGAUUUAUUGGGCGUAAAGAGUUCGUAGGCGGUCGAGUAAGUCGGGUGUGAAAAUUCUGGGCUCAACCCAGAGACGCCACCCGAUACUGCUUGACUUGAGUUCGAUAGGGGAGUGGGGAAUUCCUAGUGUAGCGGUGAAAUGCGCAGAUAUUAGGAGGAACACCGGUGGCGAAGGCGCCACUCUGGAUCGAUACUGACGCUGAGGAACGAAAGCAUGGGUAGCAAACAGGAUUAGAUACCCUGGUAGUCCAUGCCGUAAACGGUGGGCACUAGGUGUGGGUUUCUAUUAACGAAAUCCGCGCCGUCGCUAACGCAUUAAGUGCCCCGCCUGGGGAGUACGGUCGCAAGCUAAACUUAAAUGAAUUGACGG